UACGAGGGGUCCAAGCGUUGUUCGGAAUCACUGGGCGUAAAGCGGGUGUAGGUGGCUAGGCAAGUUGGAUGUGAAAGCCCCGGGCUCAACCCGGGAAGUGCAUCCAAAACUACUUAGCUUGAGUAAGGGAGAGGAUAGGAGAAUUCUUGGUGUAGUGGUGAAAUACGUAGAUAUCAAGAGGAACACCGGUGGCGAAGGCGCCUAUCUGGCCCAUUACUGACACUCAGACCCGAAAGCGUGGGUAGCAAACAGG
This 253-nucleotide ribosomal RNA is filed under the name uncultured bacterium. Its description in RNAcentral is "partial 16S ribosomal RNA". It matches the Rfam family "Bacterial small subunit ribosomal RNA", at positions 524 to 776 of the family's 1533-position model. The record is from RNAcentral. RNAcentral also lists the same sequence under 1 other name.